Homo sapiens (human) is the source of this 648-nucleotide long non-coding RNA. Ensembl annotates it as UBE2Q2 pseudogene 2. Its record names the gene UBE2Q2P2. Lineage: Eukaryota; Metazoa; Chordata; Mammalia; Primates; Hominidae. The record is from Ensembl.
GGUGCGCGGGGUGGCUGGGGCUACGUGCAGAGCUGUCGCGGAGCCGGAGCAGCAGCGGUGAAGGCCCUCGGCUCGGCCGAGACCGCCGUGCCCAUUGCUCGCCUCGGUUGCCGCCGCUUUAGCCGCAGCCGCUGCUGCCGCCGCCGGGGGAGAGGCAGCCUAUUGUCUUUCUCCGCGGCGAAGGUGAGGAGCUGUCUCGGCUCGGCCCGCGGGGGAGCCCCGGGAGCCGCACGAAUGGGACAACAGAAGAAGUGACUUCAAAAGAAGACGAAGAGGAAGAGAUGGAUGAAGAUAUAGAAGACUUAGAUCACUAUGAGAUGAAAGAAGAGCCUAUUAGUGAGAAGAAGUUGGAGGAUGAAGGAACUGAAAAAGAAAAUUGGGCAAUAUUAGAGAAAAUUAGGAAGACUGAAAGGCAAGGCCAUUUAAAUGUGUUGACCCUGAUAGUCCUUUGCACAGUGAUCUUUAGAUCUUAAAAAGAAGCGAUAGGAGACAUUUUGCUUAUCUUUCAAGUGUUCCUGACAGCAUCUCAGAGGAUGGUGUCCUCUGGCUUACUCUCUGGGAAAUGCUGCUCUGUUGGAAAUCCGGAGUUCUGAGUGAUCCCCAUGCGUUUUCUGCUGCAGAGCAGGACAUGCUGAAGUGAUUCCUUCG